This 305-nucleotide ribosomal RNA is filed under the name uncultured bacterium. RNAcentral's name for it is "bacterial SSU rRNA". It matches the Rfam family "Bacterial small subunit ribosomal RNA", at positions 335 to 655 of the family's 1533-position model. The record is from RNAcentral.
CAUCCUACGGGACGCAGCAGUGGGGAAUAUUGCACAAUGGGGGAAACCCUGAUGCAGCGACGCCGCGUGAGUGAAGAAGUAUUUCGGUAUGUAAACCAUUGUCGUUAGGGAAGAAGAAGUGACAGUACCUAAGGAGGAAGCUCCGGCUAACUAUGUGCCAGCAGCCGCGGUAAUACAUAGGGAGCGAGCGUUAUCCGGAUUUAUUGGGUGUAAAGGGUGCGUAGACGGGAAUACAAGUUGGUUGUGAAAGCCCUCGGCUUAACUGAGGAACUGCAACCAAAACUAUAUUUCUUGAGUAUCGGAGG